Long non-coding RNA from Carassius auratus (goldfish), 451 nucleotides. RefSeq lists it as uncharacterized. The transcript is spliced from 3 exons. Lineage: Eukaryota; Metazoa; Chordata; Actinopteri; Cypriniformes; Cyprinidae. The record is from RefSeq and is a predicted model, not a curated record.
UAGAAAGAAAAAAAACCCAUUAAUGAUGUGCAUCUUGAGACAAAACCAUGGCACUGACACCUUUUUUUUAUUUUUUUGUAAUACCCAAUAGUUGCCAGAUGCUGUCCUGUUGAAAAUUCUUCUUUACAUGAUCCUGGAGGAGGGUGAUGCUACAUUACUAAGUCCGUCUUUGGUUUGUUCCAAAUUCAGAAGUCUGCUGUAUUGUAUACAGACUCCUUUCGAAAGAGGGCACAAUCCAGCUGGCUUGGCGGAGUAUCUUCUUUUACAUAUUUGAUUAGAGGUUUAAAAAGGUGGAACAAAAUGGAGAACAAGUCUAAGCCAUGUCAGGAAUUCAACAAAAUGUACACCCUGCAGACACUGAGACGAGGUUUACAACAACUGCUUACCAGGUCACUGCAGUCACCCGGAUCGAGUACGUAUCCAGACCAGAUGGUGGAUCGCACCUAGAAAG